Molecule: ribosomal RNA, 297 nt
Filed under: Megalabops quadriguttata
Lineage: Eukaryota; Metazoa; Arthropoda; Insecta; Diptera; Diopsidae
Description: partial 12S ribosomal RNA
Source: RNAcentral
AUCUGUAUAAAUUUACUCUCAAAUCCACCUUCAAUUAAUUUUGCAUAUUAAUUUCCAUUUAAAUAAUUUUAAUGUAACUCAUCUCUACUUAAAUAUAAGCUACACCUUGAUCUGAAAUAUAAUUAAAUUUAAAUUAAAGAAAAUUAUUAUUCUUUUAAAAUAUUCUGAUAACGACGGUAUAUAAACUGAUAACAAAUUUAAGUAAGGUCCAACGGGGAUUAUCAAUUAUAGGACAAGUUCCUCUGAAUAGACUAAAAUACCGCCAAAUUUUUUAAGUUUCAAGACCAUAACUAUUAC